GAUGAACGCUGGCGGCGUGCCUAAUACAUGCAAGUCGAGCGAACAGAUGAGGAGCUUGCUCCUCUGGCGUUAGCGGCGGACGGGUGAGUAACACGUGGAUAACCUACCUAUGAGACUGGGAUAACUUCGGGAAACCGGAGCUAAUACCGGAUAAUAUAUUUAACCGCAUGGUUCAAUAUUGAAAGACGGUUUUGCUGUCACUUAUAGAUGGAUCCGCGCCGCAUUAGCUAGUUGGUAAGGUAACGGGUUACCAAGGCAAGGAUGCGUAGCGGACAUGAAGGGGGGAUGGGCCAGACGGGAAGUGAGACAGGGUCCAGACUCUUACGGUAGGCAGCAGUAGGGAAUCUUACGCAAGGGGCGAAAGCCUGACGGAGCACCGCCGCGUGAGUGAUGAAGGUCUGCGGAUCGUAAAACUAUGUUAUUAGGGAAGAACAAAUGUGUAAGUAACUAUGCACGUCUUGACGGUACCUAAACAGAAAGCCACGGCUAACUACGUG
RNAcentral lists this ribosomal RNA (497 nucleotides) under uncultured bacterium. RNAcentral's name for it is "partial 16S ribosomal RNA". It matches the Rfam family "Bacterial small subunit ribosomal RNA", at positions 28 to 507 of the family's 1533-position model. The record is from RNAcentral.